RNAcentral lists this unclassified non-coding RNA (210 nucleotides) under soil metagenome. RNAcentral describes it as "partial contains 5.8S ribosomal RNA, internal transcribed spacer 2, and large subunit ribosomal RNA". The record is from RNAcentral.
AACCUAGCACACCUGCGGUGUGUACCUGCGGAGGGAUCAUUACCGAGUUUACAACUCCCAAACCCCUGUGAACAUACCUAUACGUUGCCUCGGCGGAUCAGCCCGCGCCCUGUAAAACGGGACGGCCCGCCCGAGGACCCCUAAACUCUGUUUUUAGUGGAACUUCUGAGUAAAACAAACAAAUAAAUCAAAACUUUUAACAACGGAUCU